CGUACGGGUGAGUAACACGUGGAUCAUCUACCUCUUAGUGGGGAAUAACUCUGGGAAACCGGAGCUAAUACCGCAUAAGCCUCGAAAGGGAAAGCAGCAAUGCGCUGAGAGAGGAGUCCGCGGCCGAUUAGCUAGUUGGCAGGGUAAAAGCCUACCAAGGCAUUGAUCGGUAGCCGGCCUGAGAGGGCACACGGCCACACUGGCACUGAAACACGGGCCAG
Molecule: ribosomal RNA, 221 nt
Filed under: uncultured bacterium
Lineage: Bacteria
Description: partial 16S ribosomal RNA
Rfam family: Bacterial small subunit ribosomal RNA
Source: RNAcentral